This 380-nucleotide ribosomal RNA is filed under the name uncultured crenarchaeote. RNAcentral's name for it is "bacterial SSU rRNA". It matches the Rfam family "Archaeal small subunit ribosomal RNA", at positions 471 to 851 of the family's 1478-position model. The record is from RNAcentral. Lineage: Archaea; Thermoproteati; Thermoproteota.
UAAAACCAGCACCUCAAGUGGUCAGGAUGAUUAUUGGGCCUAAAGCAUCCGUAGCCUGUUCUGUAAGUUUUCGGUUAAAUCUAUGCGCUCAACGUAUAGGCUGCCGAAAAUACUGCAGAACUAGGGAGUGGGAGAGGUAGACGGUACUCGGUAGGAAGGGGUAAAAUCCUUUGAUCUAUCGAUGACCACCUGUGGCGAAGGCGGUCUACCAGAACACGUUCGACGGUGAGGGAUGAAAGCUGGGGGAGCAAACCGGAUUAGAUACCCGGGUAGUCCCAGCUGUAAACGAUGCAAACUCGAUGAUGCGUUGGCUUAUUGCUAGCGCAGUGUCGCAGGGAAGCCGUUAAGUUUGCCGCCUGGGAAGUACGUACGCAAGUAUG